AAUCCGUGCCCAUCGCUUAGGCAACAACAACAACAAAUUCGGAAGUCGGCUUCUCCACUGACUCCAUGGCGACAGCUCCUUAUAAAUUUGCAAAAUGAAUUGAUUUCUUUGUGAAAAAAAUUCCGGCUGGCUGUCAGGAUAUCCUUUCAGCUCGCAUGUAGUAGACUUAGUUAGUUCGUCGCAUCUUAAGAAAAUGAGUGCAGAAUCAGUACAGGUGAUAGUCAGGUGUAGGCCUAUGAAUGAAAAAGAAACAUCUGAAAACUAUGAGGGGAUUGUGAAUGUGCUACCAAAACGAGGUGCAAUUGAAAUUCAAGCGCCUACAAAACCACCCACUUCUAGAGAAUUUACCUAUGAUGCUGUGUAUGACUCAAACUCAAACCAAAAGGAUCUCUAUGAUGAGUCUUUUAAGCCUCUAGUUGAUUCGGUACUUCAGGGUUACAAUGGGACAAUCUUUGCUUAUGGGCAGACAGGUACAGGGAAAACAUUCACAAUGGAAGGUGUCGCAAAAGACCCGGAUAAGAGCGGUGUUAUUCCACGCUCAUUUGAGCACAUAUUCAAUCAUAUUGCUCAGUCUCAUGACCGGCAAUAUUUGGUGAGAGCAUCCUAUUUGGAAAUCUAUAAAGAACAAAUAAGGGAUUUGGUAUCAAAGGAUCCUAAGAAACGUCUUGAGUUGAAGGAGCAUUCUGAUACCGGAGUAUUUGUAAAAGACCUUUCGUCUUUUGUUUGCAAAAGCGUUGUUGAAAUCGAACAUGUGAUGAAUGUGGGAAACGUUAAUCGCUCUACUGGUGCUACCAAUAUGAACGAACACAGUAGCCGUUCUCAUGCAAUAUUCAUGAUAACGGUAGAAUCGUGUGACGUUGGUCAAGAUGAAGAAAACCACAUUGUGGUUGGAAAGUUAAACCUUGUCGAUCUGGCUGGCAGUGAAAGACAGACAAAAACUGGAGCAUCUGGAGAAAGACUGAAAGAAGCAAGCAAGAUCAAUUUAUCCCUUUCAGCUUUGGGCAACGUCAUAUCCGCUCUAGUCGAUGGCAAAAACGGGCAUGUUCCCUAUAGGGAUUCCAAAUUGACACGUCUCUUACAAGAUUCCCUAGGUGGUAACUCUCGUACAGUGAUGGUUGCCAACAUAGGCCCAGCUUCGUACAACUACGAAGAGACGUUGACCACACUUCGAUACGCCAAUCGCGCAAAACACAUUCGCAACAAACCCCAAAUCAACGAAGAUCCAAAAGACGCCCUCCUUCGGAGCUUUCAGCAAGAGAUUGCACGAUUGAAAGCCUCUCUAAGUAAUAAAAAAACCAAGCCAAAAAGAAAAGGUGAUGGGGGAUUGCACGACGUUUCCAAAUCUUCUGAAGAUUGGGCUGACGAUACAGAAGCUGAGCUCGAGCAGGAAAGAAAAGAUAUCCUCAACAAUAGUAGUCUCAUUGCGGAAGAGAGGGAUCAACUUCUUAAGACUCUGCAAACGAAACAAGAGGAGCUGCAUAAUAAACGCGAGAACCAAGAAAAAUUGGCAUCUCGAAUCGAAGCUCUCGAGAGCAAAUUGUUAACUGGCCAUAUAGGCACCUCAUCCGAAAACGUAACCAUCGAAGACGUCACGAAGAAGCAACAGCAAACGCUAGAAGCUCACCGCCAAGAAAUUAUUGAACGCGAGCGUCAAGAGCGAGAGAUGCGCCAGAAGUUAGAAAGCCAAGACGAGGAGGUGAUUGAUUUCAAAGAGAAUUUCAGUUCACUCCAACAAGAGAUCGACUACAAAACCCGAAAGCUGCGCAAAAUGUACGCUCGCUGGCAGAGCGUCAAGCAGGAAAUGGGUGAUCUCGGUGAUGAGUUUAGUCGACAACGACGUGAAUUGGAAGAAACUCAAGAAGUUCUGAUGAAGGAGCUCAGACUGAAGCAGCUGAUUGUCAGCCACUUUGUUCCUCCCGAAUUCCGACGUCAGUUAACAUCACGUCUGCGCUACGAAGAAGAUGAAGAGAAAUGGAUGUUGAGUCCAGCAACGGAGAUGCCUCUACUGCCUAGAGGGUUCGCCUCCAAGUUUGAACUGAGACCAACGUCGGAUUACGAGAAACUCGCUCGUUCAGCUGAAGAUUCUUCUUCUUUCGGUCGCUUUAAAUGUGAAAAUAUUUUUUUGCUAAGCCUGGACAUCCCCCAGCGGACCACUAAGGAAUACGAAGGCCCAGAAAUUUCUCCCACUUUGCAAGCGGCUCUCACUCAGGCCCUGCAGUCCCAGAGUCAAUCGAUGGAGGUCCAGUCAUCGAAAUACAAACCGGUGGACAUUCAUUCUUUUUUAAAAUCGGCCUGCCGUCGCAAAAUGCAACUCAUUCAGCGUCCGAGAUCGCGCAAUUCGGCCAAAUUCAACAACUCGCCAUCGCAUAAGCGUUACCCCCAAGGCCAUGCGCCGGAUGGAACCAACAUAACAGCCGCACCGUAUCCCAAAUCACGAGGUCUUGUACCAAAGUAACCAAAGUAGAGAACCCGAUCGCCAUCCACUUCCUGGUUCACGCUCAACCAAGAGGAUGGCCUCGGCCUUUACCGGGUAGUUUGUUGCGUAAGUUGCAUUUGGAGAGCACGCGUAAGCAUUCUCUCCUCAUCGGCUGCGAUCCCAAACGUCACAUCAACGCUCUGACCUUCCUGGAUUUGGUUUAUUUCGUCUGCCUUUGUCACAUUGCCUUCUGCAUCUGCCGAGCAGUCAUCGAUCUUUUGCCAUUUUGAGAUGUUUUUUUUUCUUCUCGACAGAACGAAUCAUUUAACAAACGAUGGCGAUCUCCUCAAUGCAGUUGUCAGAUGCUAGUCGAUCGGCAGCUGUCCUCUCUCCUUUUUGACAAUUUUCAACAUCACCCUCCUUGGUUCCAUUCGGCGUUAAUCUCAUGGAUCACAUUGGAGAUUACUCGCCUACGCGCAGUCUGUCGCAUACACAGACCCAGGAAACAUUUUUAGCUUUAAGGUCGAACAACAGAAACGAUUGAGACCGAUGACUUGAUAAGCGGACGCCCCCAGUGCAGUCAAUUCGAUUGGUGUUGCGUGACAGCAGGUGAAAUUUGAGGGGCUGUUGGGUGUAAUCGAUCGCACUCGGCGGUUUCGUUUCCGUUUGUUUCUAUGACAGCCAAGAGUCGCACGUGAACUCCUAACAUCGAAACUACACGGUUGUAAAGAUGUUGCGAUCGUUACAGAACGUCGAGUCUCACGAAAUCGGCUAAACACAAAAUUGCCAGACGUGAUAUCCUAAAUGAUAUU
This 3228-nucleotide unclassified non-coding RNA is filed under the name Daphnia pulicaria. Its description in RNAcentral is "kinesin-like protein KIF3B, transcript variant X2". Lineage: Eukaryota; Metazoa; Arthropoda; Branchiopoda; Diplostraca; Daphniidae. The record is from RNAcentral.